This 355-nucleotide unclassified non-coding RNA is filed under the name soil metagenome. RNAcentral's name for it is "partial contains 5.8S ribosomal RNA, internal transcribed spacer 2, and large subunit ribosomal RNA". The stretch from base 1 to 120 matches the Rfam family "5.8S ribosomal RNA", at positions 35 to 154 of the family's 154-position model. The record is from RNAcentral.
GAUGAAGAACGUAGUGAAAUGCGAUAAGUAAUGUGAAUUGCAGAAUUCAGUGAAUCAUCGAAUCUUUGAACGCACAUUGCGCCCAUUAGUAUUCUAGUGGGCAUGCCUGUUCGAGCGUCAUUAAGUCCACUUAAGCCCUGCUUAGUGUUGGGAGACUGCUCCAGCGGUGCAACCCUGUAGCUACCCUGCAGCUCCUCAAAGACAGCGGCGGAGUUGUGGUAUCCUCUGAGCUUAGUAACUUGUUCUAGCUUUCGAGUACACCACUUCCCCUGCCGUAAAACCCUUAAUUUUUAAUGGUUGACCUCGGAUCAGGUAGGAAUACCCGCUGAACUUAAGCAUAUCAAUAAGCGGAGGA